RNAcentral lists this ribosomal RNA (254 nucleotides) under uncultured bacterium. RNAcentral describes it as "partial 16S ribosomal RNA". It matches the Rfam family "Bacterial small subunit ribosomal RNA", at positions 524 to 776 of the family's 1533-position model. The record is from RNAcentral.
UACGGGGGGAGCAAGCGUUGUUCGGAUUUACUGGGCGUAAAGGGCGCGUAGGCGGUCGUGACAAGUCGAGUGUGAAAGCCCCGGGCUCAACCUGGGAAUUGCGCUCGAUACUCUUGUGCUUGAGUUCGGGAGAGGAGCCGUGGAAUUCCCAGUGUAGAGGUGAAAUUCGUAGAUAUUGGGAGAACACCGGUGGCGAAGGCGGCGCUCUGGACCGAGACUGACGCUGAGGCGCGAAAGCGUGGGGAGCAAACAGG